Molecule: ribosomal RNA, 429 nt
Filed under: Bacteroidota bacterium
Lineage: Bacteria; Pseudomonadati; Bacteroidota
Description: Bacteroidetes bacterium partial 16S ribosomal RNA
Rfam family: Bacterial small subunit ribosomal RNA
Source: RNAcentral
UAGGGAAUCUUCCGCAAUGGACGCAAGUCUGACGGAGCAACGCCGCGUGAGUGAAGAAGGAUUUCGGUUCGUAAAACUCUGUUGUUAGAGAAGAACAGCGCAUAGAGUAACUGUUAUGCGUGUGACGGUAUCUAACCAGAAAGCCACGGCUAACUACGUGCCAGCAGCCGCGGUAAUACGUAGGUGGCAAGCGUUGUCCGGAUUUAUUGGGCGUAAAGCGAGCGCAGGCGGUCAAUUAAGUCUGAUGUGAAAGCCCCCGGCUCAACCGGGGAGGGUCAUUGGAAACUGGUUGACUUGAGUGCAGAAGAGGAGAGUGGAAUUCCAUGUGUAGCGGUGAAAUGCGUAGAUAUAUGGAGGAACACCAGUGGCGAAGGCGACUCUCUGGUCUGUAACGGACGCUGAGGCUCGAAAGCGUGGGUAGCAAACAGG